GCCCGGGUGGCGGAAUUGGUAGACGCAGGGGACUCAAAAUCCCCCGCCGAAAGGUGUGCCGGUUCGAGUCCGGCCCCGGGCACCA
RNAcentral lists this transfer RNA (85 nucleotides) under Deefgea sp. CFH1-16. RNAcentral's name for it is "tRNA-Leu". It matches the Rfam family "tRNA". From Rfam's summary of the family: Transfer RNA (tRNA) molecules are approximately 80 nucleotides in length. Their secondary structure includes four short double-helical elements and three loops (D, anti-codon, and T loops). Further hydrogen bonds mediate the characteristic L-shaped molecular structure. tRNAs have two regions of fundamental functional importance: the anti-codon, which is responsible for specific mRNA codon recognition, and the 3' end, to which the tRNAs corresponding amino acid is attached (by aminoacyl-tRNA synthetases). tRNAs cope with the degeneracy of the genetic code in two manners: having more than one tRNA (with a specific anti-codon) for a particular amino acid; and 'wobble' base-pairing, i.e. permitting non-standard base-pairing at the 3rd anti-codon position. RNAcentral also lists the same sequence under 2 other names. Lineage: Bacteria; Pseudomonadati; Pseudomonadota; Betaproteobacteria; Neisseriales; Chitinibacteraceae. The record is from RNAcentral.